AGUUUGAUCCUGGCUCAGGAUGAACGCUAGCGGCAGGCCUAAUACAUGCAAGUCGAACGGUGAUAUUUAUAUCAUAGUGGCGCACGGGUGCGUAACACGUAUGCAACCUACCUAUUAUUGGGGGAUAGCCUUUGGAAACGGAGAUUAAUACCGCAUAAUACGAUUAACUGGCAUCGGUUGAUUGUUAAAGCAUUUGCGAUAAUAGAUGGGCAUGCGUCCAAUUAGUUAGUUGGUGUGGUAAUGGCUCACCAAGACGAUGAUUGGUAGGGGAUCUGAGAGGAUAAUCCCCCACACUGGCACUGAGAUACGGGCCAGACUCCUACGGGAGGCAGCAGUAGGGAAUAUUGGGCAAUGGGCGGAAGCCUGACCCAGCCAUGCCGCGUGCAGGAAGACGGCGUUAUGCGUUGUAAACUGCUUUUUUAUAGGAAGAAGGAUCCCUUGCGAGGGAAGGUGACGGUACUAUAAGAAUAAGCACCGGCUAACUCCGUGCCAGCAGCCGCGGUAAUACGGAGGGUGCAAGCGAUGUCCGGAUUUAUUGGGUUUAAAGGGUGCGUAGGCGGUUUAUUAAGUCAGUGGUGAAAGACGGUCGCUCAACGAUUGCAGUGCCAUUGAUACUGGUAGACUUGAGUGAG
This 632-nucleotide ribosomal RNA is filed under the name uncultured bacterium. RNAcentral's name for it is "bacterial SSU rRNA". It matches the Rfam family "Bacterial small subunit ribosomal RNA", at positions 10 to 650 of the family's 1533-position model. The record is from RNAcentral.